Molecule: ribosomal RNA, 492 nt
Filed under: uncultured bacterium
Lineage: Bacteria
Description: partial 16S ribosomal RNA
Rfam family: Bacterial small subunit ribosomal RNA
Source: RNAcentral
AGUGAACGCUGGCGGUAGGCCUAACACAUGCAAGUCGAACGGCAGCACAGUAAGAGCUUGCUCUUACGGGUGGCGAGUGGCGGACGGGUGAGGAAUACAUCGGAAUCUACUUUUUCGUGGGGGAUAACGUAGGGAAACUUACGCUAAUACCGCAUACGACCUACGGGUGAAAGCAGGGGAUCUUCGGACCUUGCGCGAUUGAAUGAGCCGAUGUCGGAUUAGCUAGUUGGCGGGGUAAAGGCCCACCAAAGCGACGAUCCGUAGCUGGUCUGAGAGGAUGAUCAGCCACACUGGAACUGAGACACGGUCCAGACUCCUACGGGAGGCAGCAGUGGGGAAUAUUGGACAAUGGGCGCAAGCCUGAUCCAGCCAUACCGCGUGGGUGAAGAAGGCCUUCGGGUUGUAAAGCCCUUUUGUUGGGAAAGAAAAGCAGCAGGUUAAUACCCCGCUGUUCUGACGGUACCCAAAGAAUAAGCACCGGCUAACUUCAUG